CCGCGGGCUGAGCAACUGGGCGAAGGAGAGGUGUUGGACCAAGAUGGCGGCCGCCGAAGGACUCGCGGGCGACGGCGAACUGUGGCAGACCUGGCUGCCUAACCACGCUGUGUUCUUGAGGCUCCGGGAGGGACUGAAAAACCAGAGCCCAGCCGAAGCUGAGAAGCCGGCUUCUUCUUCAUUGCCUUCGUCGUCGCCGCCGCUGCCGCCGCAGUCGCUGACGAGAAACCUGGUCUUAGGCCUCGGCGGAGAGCUCUUCCUGUGGGACGGAGAAGGCAGCUCCUUCUUAGUCGUGCGCCUUCGGGGCCUCAGCUGCGCCAGUGAGGAGCCUUCCCUCUCCCAGUACCAGAGAUUGCUUUGCAUAAAUCCACCCCUGUUUGAAAUCUAUCAAGUCUUGUUAAGUCCAACAGAACAUCAUGUAGCACUUAUAGGAAUAAAAGGACUUAUGAUAUUAGAAUUACCUAAAAGAUGGGGGAAGAAUUCUGAAUUUGAAGGUGGAAAAUCAACAGUGAAUUGUAGCACCACUCCAAUUGCUGAGAGACUUUUCACCAGUUCUACCUCUCUGACUCUAAAGCAUGCUGCCUGGUAUCCAAGUGAGAUGCUGGAUCCCCACAUAGUGUUGUUAACAUCAGACAAUGUAAUAAGAAUUUAUUCUCUGCGUGAGCCCCAGACACCCACUAAGGUUAUUAUACUUUCAGAAACAGAAGAGGAAAGUCUAAUACUCAAUAAAGGAAGGGCCUACACCGCAUCUCUAGGAGAGACAGCAGUUGCAUUUGACUUUGGGCCAUUGUCAGCAGUCCCGAAGAACGUAUUUGGACAAAAAGGCAAAGAUGAAGUAGUGGCAUUCCCCCUGUACAUCUUGUACGAGAAUGGGGAGACGUUCCUUACGUAUGUUAGCCUGUUGCACAGCCCUGGGAGCGUGGGGAAGCUGUUAGGCCCGUUGCCCAUGCACCCGGCAGCUGAAGACAACUAUGGUUACGACGCCUGCGCCGUGCUCUGCUUGCCCUGUGUCCCCAACAUCUUGGUGAUUGCCACUGAGUCCGGAAUGCUCUACCACUGUGUCGUGCUGGAAGGGGAGGAAGAAGACGACCAAACAUCAGAAAAGUCCUGGGAUUCCAGGGCAGACCUCAUUCCUUCUCUGUAUGUGUUUGAGUGUGUUGAGUUGGAGCUUGCUCUGAAACUGGCGUCUGGAGAGGAUGAUCCCUUUGAUUCUGACUUUUCUUGUCCAAUUAAACUUCACAGAGAUCCCAAGUGUCCCUCAAGAUACCACUGUACUCAUGAAGCUGGUGUGCAUAGUGUUGGGCUCACUUGGAUUCAUAAACUUCACAAAUUUCUUGGAUCAGAUGAAGAAGAUAAGGACAGUUUGCAGGAACUAGCUACAGAACAGAAAUGCUUCGUAGAACACAUCCUUUGCACCAAGCCAUUGCCGUGCAGGCAGCCAGCUCCGAUUCGAGGAUUCUGGAUUGUCCCUGACAUACUGGGGCCUACGAUGAUCUGCAUCACCAGUACCUGCGAAUGCCUCAUAAGGCCUUUACUAAGCACAGUCCAUCCAGCAUCUCCUCCCCUGCUCUGUACCCGAGAUGACGUUGAAGUGGCAGAGUCUCCCCUCCGGAUUCUGGCCGAAACCCCGGAUUCCUUUGAAAAACACAUCAGAAGCAUUCUGCAACGCAGUGUCGCAAAUCCAGCGGUUUUGAAAUCAUCUGAAAAAGAUACGGCACCCCCUCCCGAAGAAUGUCUUCAGCUCAUCAGCAGAGCCACCCAGGUGUUCAGAGAACAGUACAUUCUUAAACAGGACCUGGCAAAGGAGGAGAUUCAGCGGAGGGUGAAACUGUUAUGUGACCAAAAAAAGAAACAACUAGAAGAUCUCAAUUAUUGUCGAGAGGAGAGGAAAAGUCUACGGGAAAUGGCUGAGCGCUUAGCUGACAAAUAUGAGGAAGCCAAGGAAAAACAAGAAGAUAUUAUGAACAGGAUGAAAAAAAGUACUUCACAGUUUUCACUCUCAGCUUCCAGUUCUGUCUGAUAGUGAGAGAGACAUGAAGAAAGAAUUACAGCUGAUACCUGAUCAACUUCGACAUCUGGGCAAUGCCAUCAAACAGGUUACUAUGAAAAAAGACUAUCAGCAGCGAAAGAUGGAAAAGGUACUAAGUCCUCAGAAGCCCACCAUUACGCUCAGCGCCUACCAGCGGAAGUGCAUUCAGUCCAUCCUGAAGGAGGAGGGUGAACACAUAAGAGAGAUGGUGAAGCAAAUUAAUGAUAUCCGAAACCAUGUAAACUUCUGACACGGCCGGGGCCGGCACGCCCUGUGAAACGAGCAGGCGGCAUCACCUAGUUUAUAAAGAGGCGUUCUGGAUGAACUUUUCUGUGGUGGCUCAUCACUUUUUAUAGUUAUUUUAUAAUUAUUGAAUAAAUGCUUUUAUUUAAAAAUUGGAA
Vicugna pacos (alpaca) is the source of this 2430-nucleotide non-coding RNA. The record is from RefSeq and is a predicted model, not a curated record. NCBI's taxonomy places the organism in Eukaryota, Metazoa, Chordata, Mammalia, Artiodactyla, Camelidae.